UAACCUGCUAAAUAGUUAGGCCAACGUCUGUUGGUCGUCAACUUCUUAGAGGGACUAUUGACUAUUAGUCAAUGGAAGUUUGAGGCAAUAACAGGUCUGUGAUGCCCUUAGAUGUUCUGGGCCGCACGCGCGCUACACUGAUCAAGUCAGCGAGUUUACAACCUUGGCCGGAAGGUCUGGGUAAUCUUUUGAAACUUGAUCGUGCUGGGGAUAGUCCAUUGCAAUUAUUGGACUUCAACGAGGAAUUCCUAGUAAGCGUGAGUCAUCAGCUCGCGUUGAUUACGUCCCUGCCCUUUGUACACACCGCCCGUCGCU
RNAcentral lists this ribosomal RNA (315 nucleotides) under uncultured fungus. RNAcentral's name for it is "SSU rRNA". It matches the Rfam family "Eukaryotic small subunit ribosomal RNA", at positions 1344 to 1680 of the family's 1831-position model. The record is from RNAcentral. Lineage: Eukaryota; Fungi.